AGAGUUUGAUCAUGGCUCAGGAUGAACGCUAGCGGGAGGCUUAACACAUGCAAGUCGAGGGGCAGCACGGUCCAACGCAAGAAGGACUGGUGGCGACCGGCGCACGGGUGAGUAACGCGUAUGCAACCUACCCUGUACUGGAGAAUAACCCGGAGAAAUUCGGACUAAUACUCCAUAACGAUAUAGAGAGGCAUCUUUUUAUAUUUAAAGCUCUGGCGGUACGGGCUGGGCAUGCGUAACAUUAGCUAGUUGGCAGGGUAACGGCCUACCAAGGCAACGAUGUUUAGGGGUCCUGAGAGGGUGAUCCCCCACACUGGUACUGAGACACGGACCAGACUCCUACGGGAGGCAGCAGUGAGGAAUAUUGGUCAAUGGGCGCAAGCCUGAACCAGCCAUCCCGCGUGAAGGAAGACGGCGCUAUGCGUUGUAAACUUCUUUUCCAGGGAAAUAAAAUCAGGUACGUGUACCGGAUUGAAGGUACCCUGGGAAUAAGCAUCGGCUAACUCCGUGCCAGCAGCCGCGGUAAUACGGAGGAUGCAAGCGUUAUCCGGAUUUAUUGGGUUUAAAGGGUGCGUAGGCGGGAAAAUAAGUCAGUGGUGAAAUCCUACAGCUUAACUGUAGAAUUGCCGUUGAUACUGUUUUUCUUGAGUAUGGUCAAGGAAGGCGGAAUGUGUAAUGUAGCGGUGAAAUGCUUAGAUAUUACACAGAACACCAAUUGCGAAGGCAGCUUUCUGGCCCAUUACUGACGCUGAGGCACGAAAGCGUGGGGAUCGAACAGGAUUAGAUACCCUGGUAGUCCACGCCGUAAACGAUGAUCACUAGCUGUUGGCGAUAUACUGUCAGCGGCAAAGCAAAAGCAUUAAGUGAUCCACCUGGGGAGUACGGCCGCAAGGCUGAAACUCAAAGGAAUUGACGG
This 916-nucleotide ribosomal RNA is filed under the name uncultured bacterium. RNAcentral describes it as "bacterial SSU rRNA". It matches the Rfam family "Bacterial small subunit ribosomal RNA", at positions 8 to 916 of the family's 1533-position model. The record is from RNAcentral.